This 300-nucleotide ribosomal RNA is filed under the name uncultured Lactobacillus sp. RNAcentral's name for it is "bacterial SSU rRNA". It matches the Rfam family "Bacterial small subunit ribosomal RNA", at positions 496 to 795 of the family's 1533-position model. Lineage: Bacteria; Bacillati; Bacillota; Bacilli; Lactobacillales; Lactobacillaceae. The record is from RNAcentral.
GGCAAUGAGGGGGCAGGAGCGGCGGGAAGACGGUGGGGGAAAGCGUUGUCCGGAUUUAGUGGGCGGAAAGAGCGUGUAGGCGGCCAGAAAGGGCAGCUGUGAAAACGCGAGGCUCAACCUCGAGACGUCGGUUGAAACCGUCUGGCUAGAGUCCGGAAGAGGAGAGUGGAAUUCCCGGUGUAGCGGUGAAAUGCGCAGAUAUCGGGAAGAACACCCGUGGCGAAGGCGGCUCUCUGGGACGGUACUGACGCUGAGACGCGAAAGCGUGGGGAGCGAACAGGAUUAGAUACCCCGGUAGUC